This 1353-nucleotide long non-coding RNA is filed under the name Homo sapiens (human). Its description in RNAcentral is "lncRNA SMARCA2 (BRM) associated". Lineage: Eukaryota; Metazoa; Chordata; Mammalia; Primates; Hominidae. The record is from RNAcentral.
CUUCUCUCCGUUUUCCUCCUUCCUGCCAUGUUGAAUGUGUCAGCCUCUCCUUCACCUUCCACUCUGAUUCUGGCUGCUCUCCUCUACAUUCGGUGGCCUUGGGAACACCAAAGAUGUGGCCUUGGCAACACUUGCACAUCGAGGUCAAGAGGCCAGGAAGAGCAUCCUGCCUUCUAACUCCUUUGAAGUUUACUCAAAAUUCUCAUCCUGAACUGGACUUUUGGACUCAACAACAAAAGAUCGUGGCCAGUCUGUAUCACACGGGGCUUGGAAAGUAGUCAUAAGAGAACACACUUUCAUUACUGUGGCCUGAAAAGUGCAGGGAUGACGCUGUGUUUCAGAGGAAUUCAUAAGCAGAAUUGAAUUUGUUUUAGUUAACUCCUUAUUUGAUUGGAAUAUUGUCGACUUAACAAAAUAGUAGAAAGAGCAUUGGGCUGAAGUGAGAAGAUUUGAAUUCUAGUCCAAAAUCUGUUACUAACCAGCUCUUUGACCCUGAGAAGUCAUUUGACUUGAAUUAUAGUCUUUUUCUUAUAUGGGAAAGGUGGAGUAUACUCAGAGUCUCUCCUAAGUGCUAAGAUUCUGUGAUUCUAUGAAAUCAGACCAUCAGAGAGGAAUACUGCAGUGUUCUCCUGCAUGGGUUGUAAAUGAGAAAAAAGAAAGAAGGAGAGCAAAAUGACUUAAAGACAUUUUCAAGAAAAAAAGAGGAGAGAAGUCACUGAAAUGGAAAAAUAAACAUAUUAUAUAACUAUUUAUUGCACUAUGCAAUAAAAACAUCUUCAGCAACAGCCACACAAGUGCGGGUAGAGGGUCUGCUUUGAAGAGAGAAAAAAGGCUGCUGCAGAAAAAACAAACCUCAAUUCAUAAUUGGAGCUUUUGUUCUUUCUGGAUUGUUUUGUGAAGAACAUGCUGCCAAAAAACAUUUUUCUUCUGUAACCGCUUCUUUUGAAACUCCAUUCUUUUUUAUUUCAAGGAUGUUUAUUAUCUACUCAUUUCUUUUUAUUUAUUUUUGAAUCAUAUACCCCAAUGUCUAGAUGACUGGGACCACUAGGUUUCAUAUUUCCCAGAUGAGAUUAGUUGUACAGUUCAUUUUGCAGGUUUAUUCAGAGCAUUUCAAUGGCAUUUCACCUACAGUUCACCUAUAUUGAGUCCUAAGAAAUUGAAGGUGUUUCUUGAUAGUUCUCCUGCUCCAUCUUCUUCCAGGGGAUUGAUUUGGCUUCUUAUGUUUUUGUAUUUGGUUGCUCAUUAGAGAUAAGCCUGAUUAUUUGGCAUUGUGUAUUUUCUCUGUUUUAAAAAGGGAAAAUACAACAUGUUAUUAAUUAUUAUGAUAUAAUAAAAAAUGGAGAGAAGGAAAAA